GACGAACGCUGGCGGCGUGCUUAACACAUGCAAGUCGAACGGAAAGGCCCUGCUUGCAGGGUACUCGAGUGGCGAACGGGUGAGUAACACGUGGGUGAUCUGCCCUGCACUUCGGGAUAAGCUUGGGAAACUGGGUCUAAUACCGGAUAGGACCUCACUUCAGUGUGUGUGGUGGAAAGUUUUUUCGGUCUAGGAUGAGCUCGCGGCCUAUCAGCUUGUUGGUGGGGUAAUGGCCUACCAAGGCGGCGACGGGUAGCCGGCCUGGGAGGGUGUACGGCCACAUUGGGACUGAGAUACGGCCCAGACUCCUACGGGUGGCAGCAGUGGGGAAUAUUGCACAAUAGGCGCCAGCCUGAUGCAGCGACGCCGCGUGGGGGAUGAAGGCCUUCGGGUUGUAAACUCCUUUCGCUAGGGACGAAGCUUUUUGUGACGGUACCUAGAUAAGAAGCACCGGCUAACUACGUG
Molecule: ribosomal RNA, 465 nt
Filed under: uncultured bacterium
Lineage: Bacteria
Description: partial 16S ribosomal RNA
Rfam family: Bacterial small subunit ribosomal RNA
Source: RNAcentral